RNAcentral lists this long non-coding RNA (894 nucleotides) under Marmota monax (woodchuck). Lineage: Eukaryota; Metazoa; Chordata; Mammalia; Rodentia; Sciuridae. The record is from RNAcentral.
AAAAAUAAUUGGAAAACUAAAUAUAACAUCAUUAGUAAAACUUUUGAUUUUGUAAACAGGAUAAAUAAAAUAUACUAAAUAAAAAUGAAUAAAGGGAAAUAUUUUUGAAGUGGUAAGAAAAGAUAAAUUAGAUUUACCUACAGCACCGUAACUAUCUCCAAAAUACAAUAGUGAAAAAUUAAUAAUUAGAAUGAUAUGCAGCAACAUAUACUUUGAAACAUAUUUAAAAAAUCCUACAUAUUUUUCAAAUAUUUAUAAAAACAUAAAUUUAUACAAGAUAGAGCAGAAGGACAUAUAUUAUUAAAUAUACUAGCAUAUCUAUAAGAUUUGAGAAUGGGAAAAACAGAAAUCAAAAGAUAUAAAUGAAACAGCCAAGAGAGUGUUCUGUAAUUGCUGACCCUGAUUCACAGUUCCUUCUGGCACAAAAGUAGAAUCUAUUUCCUGCUCUCUUGUGCAGUUAGGUGUGGCCAAAUGAUAUUAGUCUUACAAUGGAAUGUAGGUAGAAGGAAUAUAUGUUAUUUCCAGGACAGACUACUUAGUAAGGAAAACUAAUAGAUACCAAGGAUAGACCAGAUCCUACUCAGGGUCAUAAAAAAACCUUCACAAAUUUCAUAUAUAUAUAUAUACUUGCACACACACACUUAUUGAUUUCUAGUUGGUUCCAUUAUUAAAUGUGUGUGUGUGUGUGUGUGUACAGAAAGAUACCCAAAGUAUCUCAAAACAGUGGAAAAUGAUAAGCAACACAUUUCUAAAUAAUGCAGUUGCCAAAAAUGAAGUUUCAAAGGAAAUUAAAAAAUAUACUGAAGUGAAUGAAAAUACAAUAUAUAUAAAGUGACUGAUGUGAAGCUAAAGCAAUGCUUGCAGAGAUAUUUACAGCAUUAAAUACUUAGAAAG